GAGCCAGCUCAGCCCAGCAGUUCCAUUGACCAAAGCAUUGCUUAGAUCCCCUAAUUAUUAUUAUUAUUAUAAUUGCUUCCAGCGGUUUGAGACCUGUGGGCACUGCCCGGCUAUAUA
Molecule: non-coding RNA, 117 nt
Organism: Podarcis lilfordi (Lilford's wall lizard)
Lineage: Eukaryota; Metazoa; Chordata; Lepidosauria; Squamata; Lacertidae
Source: the annotation of a GenBank genome assembly